AGGGCGCAAGGGGGAUGCCUUGGCAUUGGUAGCCGAUGAAGGACGUAGCGAUCUACGAUAAGCCACGGGAAGUCGAAAGCAGGCAAUGAUCCGUGGAUUUCCGAAUGGGGAAACCCGGCAGAGCAAUACUCUGUCAACUCCUUGUGAAUAAAAUAGCAUUGAGUAGGGAACCUCCUGAACUGAAACAUCUAAGUAGGGAGAGGAAAAGAAAUCAACCGAGAUUCCGCUAGUAGUGGCGAGCGAACGCGGAAGAGGCCAAACCAAGAGUAGUAAUACUUUUGGGGUUCGGACUGAGCACGGUAUUGACAAGAGUUAGUAGAAUGGAAUGGGAAGUUCAACCAUAGAGUGUGAGAGUCACGUAUACGAAAACUUGAGUCAGCCAUCAGUAUCCAGAGUACCGCCGGACACGUGAAACCCGGUGGGAAUACGGGGGGACCACCCUCCAAGCCUAAAUACUCACCAAUGACCGAUAGUGUAUAGUACUGUGAAGGAAAGGUGAAAAGAACCCCUGGCGGGGAGUGAAAAAGAACCUGAAACCUUGUGCCUACAAGCACAUAGAGCACAUCAACGUGUGAUAUGGUACCUUUUGUAGAAUGGUCCGGCGAGUGAAUGUCACUAGCGAGGUUAAGAACUUAAGGUUUGCAGCCGAAGCGAAAGCGAGUCUUAAUAGGGCGAUUUAGUUAGUGGUAUUCGACCCGAAACCGAGUGACCUAGCCAUGAGCAGGCUGAAGUGGAGGUAAAACUCCAUGGAGGGCCGAACCCACUCCCGUUGAAAUGGUAGGGGAUGACUUGUGGCUAGCGGAGAAAUUCCAAUCGAACUCGGAGAUAGCUGGUUCUCUCCGAAAUAGCUUUAGGGCUAGCCUCAAUUAACAUUACCGCAGGUAAAGCACUGAAUGGGCUAGGGGGCGAAAGCUUACUGAACCCUAUCAAACUCAGAAUGGCGGAUAAUGAAUAAUUGGGAGUCACACUACGUGAGAUAAGUUUCGUGGUGGAAAGGGAAACAGCCCAGACCCACAGCUAAGGUCCCAAAGUACAGUUAAGUGGAAAAGGAUGUGAAGUUGCGCAGACAACCAGGAUGUUGGCUCAGAAGCAGCCACUCAUUCAAAGAGUGCGUAAUAGCUCACUGGUCGAGUGAUUUUGCGCCGAAAAUUUAACGGGGCUAAACUGUACACCGAAGCUUGGGAAUAUACCUUAUGGUAUGUUGGUAGGAGAGCGUCGUAUGCGGGGUGAAGUCGUAGCGAAAGCGGCGGUGGACUGCAUAGGAGUGAGAAUGCCGGAAUGAGUAGCGAGAAUUAUGUGAGAAUCAUAAUGGCCGAAAGACUAAGGUUUUAGAAGGAAGGUUCGUCCGCUUCUAGUUAGCCGGGAGCUAAGGCGAGGCCGAAAGGCGUAGUCGAUGCACAUACGGUUGAGAUUCCGUAGCCACCUUAAAUUUAAACUAAGGGACACAUUGAAAGGGAAUAACCCAGGCGUUGGUUGACCUGGGCGUAAGGGAACGAAAAUAAGUAGUGAAGUAUUCUUGGACAGUGGCGAGAAAAGCUUAGUGUAUAUUAUUAGGGUGCCCGUACUGCAAACCGACACAGGUAGUCAGGAAGAGAAUUCUAAGGCCAUCGGGAGAAGCGUUGUUAAGGAACUCGGCAAAUUGACCCCGUAACUUCGGAAUAAGGGGUGCUCACGAGAGUGAGCCGCAGUGAAUAGGUCCAGGCAACUGUUUAUCAAAAACACAGCUCUCUGCUAAAUCGUAAGAUGACGUAUAGGGGGUGACACCUGCCCGGUGCUGGAAGGUUAAGAGGAGGAGUGCAAGCCCCGAAUCGAAGCCCCAGUAAACGGCGGCCGUAACUAUAACGGUCCUAAGGUAGCGAAAUUCCUUGUCGGGUAAGUUCCGACCCGCACGAAUGGUGUAAUGAUCUGGACACUGUCUCAACAACGCACCCGGCGAAAUUGUAGUACCGGUGAAGAUGCCGGUUACCCGCGGCAAGACGGAAAGACCCCAUGGAGCUUUACUGUAACUUAAUAUUGGGUCUCGGUACUUUAUGUACAGGAUAGGCGGGAGACUUGGAAACUAGCACGCCAGUGUUAGCGGAGUCAUCCUUGGGAUACCGCUCUUAAGGUAUUGAGAUUCUAACCUGCAGCCUUGAAUCAGGUUGGGGGACAUUGUUAGGUGGGCAGUUUGACUGGGGCGGUCGCCUCCAAAAGAGUAACGGAGGCGCUCAAAGGUUCGCUCAGCAUGGAUGGAAACCAUGCUAUUGAGUGUAAACGCAAAAGCGAGCCUAACUGCGAGACUGACGGGUCGAGCAGUAACGAAAGUUGGAGUUAG
RNAcentral lists this ribosomal RNA (2314 nucleotides) under human gut metagenome. Its description in RNAcentral is "bacterial LSU rRNA". It matches the Rfam family "Bacterial large subunit ribosomal RNA", at positions 14 to 2415 of the family's 2925-position model. The record is from RNAcentral.